UACGGGGGGAGCAAGCGUUGUUCGGAUUUACUGGGCGUAAAGGGCGGGUAGGCGGCCACCGCAAGUCAGUUGUGAAAUCUCCGGGCUUAACCCGGAAAGGUCAACUGAUACUGCGGGGCUAGAGUGCAGAAGGGGCAACUGGAAUUCUCGGUGUAGCGGUGAAAUGCGUAGAUAUCGAGAGGAACACCUGCGGCGAAGGCGGGUUGCUGGGCUGACACUGACGCUGAGGAGCGAAAGCAUGGGGAGCGAACAGG
This 254-nucleotide ribosomal RNA is filed under the name uncultured bacterium. RNAcentral's name for it is "partial 16S ribosomal RNA". It matches the Rfam family "Bacterial small subunit ribosomal RNA", at positions 524 to 776 of the family's 1533-position model. The record is from RNAcentral.